AGAGUUUGAUCCUGGCUCAAAUUGAACGCUGGCGGCAGGCUUAACACAUGCAAGUCGAGCGCGAAAAUACUUUCGGGUAUGAGUAGAGCGGCGGACGGGUGAGUAACGCGUAGGAAUCUACCCAGUAGUGGGGGACAACUUGGGGAAACCCAAGCUAAUACCGCAUACGCCCCAUGGGGGAAAGCGAGGGACCUUCGGGCCUCGUGCUAUUGGAUGAGCCUGCGUAAGAUUAGCUAGUUGGUGGGGUAAAGGCCCACCAAGGCGACGAUCUUUAGCUGGUCUGAGAGGAUGAUCAGCCACACUGGGACUGAGACACGGCCCAGACUCCUACGGGAGGCAGCAGUGGGGAAUAUUGCGCAAUGGAGGCAACUCUGACGCAGCCAUGCCGCGUGUGUGAAGAAGGCCUUAGGGUUGUAAAGCACUUUCAAUUGGGAAGAAAAGUUCAUCGUUAAUAGCGGUGAGCCCUGACAUUACCUUUAAAAGAAGCACCGGCUAAAUCCGUGCCAGCAGCCGCGGUAAUA
Molecule: ribosomal RNA, 521 nt
Filed under: uncultured Gammaproteobacteria bacterium
Lineage: Bacteria; Pseudomonadati; Pseudomonadota; Gammaproteobacteria
Description: bacterial SSU rRNA
Rfam family: Bacterial small subunit ribosomal RNA
Source: RNAcentral